UGGCGACCAUAGCAUUAUGGACCCACCUGAUCCCUUGCCGAACUCAGUAGUGAAACGUAAUAGCGCCGAUGGUAGUGUGGGGUCUCCCCAUGUGAGAGUAGGACAUCGCCAGGCU
RNAcentral lists this ribosomal RNA (115 nucleotides) under Photobacterium kishitanii. Lineage: Bacteria; Pseudomonadati; Pseudomonadota; Gammaproteobacteria; Vibrionales; Vibrionaceae. The record is from RNAcentral.